UACGAAGGGUGCAAGCGUUACUCGGAAUUACUGGGCGUAAAGCGCGCGUAGGCGGCUCGGAAAGUCGGGCGUGAAAUGCCGGGGCUCAACCCCGGGACUGCGUCCGAUACUUCCGAGCUGGAGGUAGGUAGGGGAGAUCGGAAUUCCUGGUGUAGCGGUGAAAUGCGCAGAUAUCAGGAGGAACACCGGUGGCGAAGGCGGAUCUCUGGGCCUUACCUGACGCUGAGGCGCGAAAGCUAGGGGAGCGAACAGG
Molecule: ribosomal RNA, 253 nt
Filed under: uncultured bacterium
Lineage: Bacteria
Description: partial 16S ribosomal RNA
Rfam family: Bacterial small subunit ribosomal RNA
Source: RNAcentral